RNAcentral lists this ribosomal RNA (336 nucleotides) under Triticum aestivum (bread wheat). RNAcentral's name for it is "partial small subunit ribosomal RNA". Lineage: Eukaryota; Viridiplantae; Streptophyta; Magnoliopsida; Poales; Poaceae. The record is from RNAcentral.
AUGCCAUGCUUCAUUAAACCGGACAUGCAUCAUACUUGGUUGUGCAUCAUACCAUGUUUAUGUGUUGGUUGUUUUACUAUGUUGUUUGCUUCUUUCCGGUGUUGCUUCUUCGGGUUGGUUCCGAUGACGUUUGAUUGUGAGGAACCGUUCGUCUACGCCCGUUUGUCUUCUUCAUGGACUCGUUCUUCUUCCUUGCGGGAUUUCAGGCAAGAUGAUCAUACCCUCGAAAUCACUUCUAUCUUUGCUUGCUUAGUUGCUCGCUCUUUCGCUAUGCAUAUGCUGCGAUACCUACCACUUGCUUAUCAUGCCUCCCAUAUUGUUGAACCAAGCCUCUAA